Molecule: ribosomal RNA, 334 nt
Filed under: uncultured bacterium
Lineage: Bacteria
Description: bacterial SSU rRNA
Rfam family: Bacterial small subunit ribosomal RNA
Source: RNAcentral
UGAGGAAUAUUGGACAAUGGAGGCAACUCUGAUCCAGCCAUGCCGCGUGAAGGACUAAGGCCCUAUGGGUCGUAAACUUCUUUUGACGCAGAGCAAUAAGGUCUACGUGUGGACUGAUGAGAGUAUGCGUCGAAUAAGCAUCGGCUAACUCCGUGCCAGCAGCCGCGGUAAUACGGAGGAUGCAAGCGUUAUCCGGAUUUAUUGGGUUUAAAGGUGCGUAGGCGGAUGGGUAAGUCAGCGGUGAAAUGUCCCGGCUCAACCGGGGAACUGCCAUUGAUACUGCCUGUCUUGAAUGCGGAUGCCGUGGGAGGAAUGUGUAGUGUAGCGGGUGAAG